GCGGAUGUAGCUCAAUGGCAGAGCCCCAGCCUUCCAAGCUGGUGACGCGGGUUCGAUACCCGUCAUCCGCUCGA
RNAcentral lists this transfer RNA (74 nucleotides) under Actinomycetota bacterium. RNAcentral's name for it is "tRNA-Gly". It matches the Rfam family "tRNA". Rfam says of the family: Transfer RNA (tRNA) molecules are approximately 80 nucleotides in length. Their secondary structure includes four short double-helical elements and three loops (D, anti-codon, and T loops). Lineage: Bacteria; Bacillati; Actinomycetota. The record is from RNAcentral.